UAGGGAAUCUUCGGCAAUGGGGGGAACCCUGACCGAGCAACGCCGCGUGAGUGAAGAAGGUUUUCGGAUCGUAAAGCUCUGUUGUUAAGGAAGAACGUGUGUGAGAAUGGAAAGUUCAUGCUGUGACGGUACUUAACCAGAAAGGGACGGCUAACUACGUGCCAGCAGCCGCGGUAAUACGUAGGUCCCGAGCGUUGUCCGGAUUUAUUGGGCGUAAAGCGAGCGCAGGCGGUUAGAAAAGUCUGAAGUGAAAGGCAGUGGCUCAACCAUUGUAGGCUUUGGAAACUGUUUAACUUGAGUGCAGAAGGGGAGAGUGGAAUUCCAUGUGUAGCGGUGAAAUGCGUAGAUAUAUGGAGGAACACCGGUGGCGAAAGCGGCUCUCUGGUCUGUAACUGACGCUGAGGCUCGAAAGCGUGGGGAGCGAACAGG
RNAcentral lists this ribosomal RNA (429 nucleotides) under Bacteroidota bacterium. RNAcentral describes it as "Bacteroidetes bacterium partial 16S ribosomal RNA". It matches the Rfam family "Bacterial small subunit ribosomal RNA", at positions 355 to 776 of the family's 1533-position model. Lineage: Bacteria; Pseudomonadati; Bacteroidota. The record is from RNAcentral.